The sequence is a ribosomal RNA, 747 nucleotides long. It matches the Rfam family "Eukaryotic large subunit ribosomal RNA", at positions 375 to 966 of the family's 3401-position model.
UUUGCAGAGAGAGUUAAGAGGACGUGAAACCGGUAAGGUGGAAACGGAUAGAGCUAGCGUAUCUAGCUUGUAUUCAGCCGCUCUGGUUUGGGUGCCCUGUUUGCUGGUCCGGAUUCGGCCAGUUGGCGGGUGUCUCCUGGGCUUUGGUGGUGCAUUUGCAAGUGGAGUGCGCUGAGGCCUGUGGGGCAGCGGUUGGAAGUGCGCUUUGAGGAUACCCUUUGGGGUAAAACCCGGGCGUACCUAAGACUGUUUGCCCUGCUUGUACAUGAGCGUGGCCUACGGGUUUGGCUGGGGCUGAGCUGGUCGCCGGUUACGGUCGCAUGCGACACGUGCUGGUGGUUGGUUUGGUUCUGGUCUGACUCCCUCGCUCGCCCUCGGUGUAAAAGCUAGUCAUCUAUCCGACCCGUCUUGAAACACGGACCAAGGAGUUUAGCGUAUACGCGAGUCAUUGAGUGUAAAACUCAAAGGCGCAAUGAAAGUAAAGGUAUCCCUUGCGGAGCUGAUAUGCGACCUCGGGUGCUUCGGUGCCCGGGAGCAGCAUAGCCCCGUCCUAAUUGCUUGCAAUGGGGCGGAGGUAGAGCGUAUUCGCUGAGACCCGAAAGAUGGUGAACUAUUCCUGAGCAGGAUGAAGCCAGUGGAAACACUGGUGGAAGUCCGAAGCGAUUCUGACGUGCAAAUCGAUCGUCUGACUUGGGUAUAGGGGCGAAAGACUAAUCGAACCAUCUAGUAGCUGUUUCCCUUCCCAAA